UACGUAGGGUCCGAGCGUUGUCCGGAAUUACUGGGCGUAAAGCGCGCGCAGGCGGCCCGCGAGGUGUCACGUGAAAGCCCCGGGCUCAACCCGGGAGGGUCGUGGCAAACCGGCGGGCUUGAGGCCGGUAGAGGUGGGUGGAACUCCUGGUGGAGUGGUGAAAUGCGUAGAGAUCAGGAAGAACACCCGUGGCGAAGGCGGCCCACUGGGCCGGUACUGACGCUGAGGCGCGGAGGCGUGGGGAGCGAACGGG
RNAcentral lists this ribosomal RNA (253 nucleotides) under uncultured bacterium. Its description in RNAcentral is "partial 16S ribosomal RNA". It matches the Rfam family "Bacterial small subunit ribosomal RNA", at positions 524 to 776 of the family's 1533-position model. The record is from RNAcentral.